Molecule: long non-coding RNA, 388 nt
Filed under: Salvia miltiorrhiza (redroot sage)
Lineage: Eukaryota; Viridiplantae; Streptophyta; Magnoliopsida; Lamiales; Lamiaceae
Description: long non-coding RNA (SMIL_LNC012196)
Source: RNAcentral
CUCCCUUCGCCGGACCUCGAAUCAGAAGGUGGAACUGUGGAAGGGGCAGAUCUCAUCGCUGCGAAUCGCGGUGGAAUGCGGCCGGUGAGUCGAAUCGCCCGGGGAGGGAGGGGAAAAUGGAGGCGGCAUCGGAGAAGGUGGAAGAGCAAAUCUCUAGCGGGCGGCGAAAGGUGGCAGAUCGCGGCUGCGGCCGGUGAGUCGAAUCGCCGGCAGAGGGAGGGGAAAAUGGAGGUGGCAUCGGCCGGUGGGUCGAAUCGUCGCGGAGAGGGAAAUGGAGGUGGUGGUCGACGCAGAGAAAGGAAGAGAAGACAAUAUGAUUUUACAAUGUUUAACUUAAUUAAAUAAUAUAUAUAAAAUAAUAAUAAUUGAUGUGGAAUUAUAUUGCCAC